AGUGAACGCUGGCGGUAGGCCUAACACAUGCAAGUCGAACGGCAGCACAGUAAGAGCUUGCUCUUACGGGUGGCGAGUGGCGGACGGGUGAGGAAUACAUCGGAAUCUACUUUUUCGUGGGGGAUAACGUAGGGAAACUUACGCUAAUACCGCAUACGACCUACGGGUGAAAGCAGGGGAUCUUCGGACCUUGCGCGAUUGAAUGAGCCGAUGUCGGAUUAGCUAGUUGGCGGGGUAAAGGCCCACCAAGGCGACGAUCCGUAGCUGGUCUGAGAGGAUGAUCAGCCACACUGGAACUGAGACACGGUCCAGACUCCUACGGGAGGCAGCAGUGGGGAAUAUUGGACAAUGGGCGCAAGCCUGAUCCAGCCAUACCGCGUGGGUGAAGAAGGCCUUCGGGUUGUAAAGCCCUUUUGUUGGGAAAGAAAAGCAGCAGGUUAAUACCCCGCUGUUCUGACGGUACCCAAAGAAUAAGCACCGGCUAACUUCUG
This 491-nucleotide ribosomal RNA is filed under the name uncultured bacterium. RNAcentral's name for it is "partial 16S ribosomal RNA". It matches the Rfam family "Bacterial small subunit ribosomal RNA", at positions 29 to 506 of the family's 1533-position model. The record is from RNAcentral.